GACGAACGCUGGCGGCGUGCUUAACACAUGCAAGUCGAACGGAAAGGCCCUGCUUUUGUGGGGUGCUCGAGUGGCGAACGGGUGAGUAACACGUGAGUAACCUGCCCUUGACUUUGGGAUAACUUCAGGAAACUGGGGCUAAUACCGGAUAGGAGCUCCUGCUGCAUGGUGGGGGUUGGAAAGCUUCGGCGGUUGGGGAUGGACUCGCGGCUUAUCAGCUUGUUGGUGGGGUAGUGGCUUACCAAGGCUUUGACGGGUAGCCGGCCUGAGAGGGUGAUCGGCCACAUUGGGACUGAGAUACGGCCCAGACUCCUACGGGAGGCAGCAGUGGGGAAUAUUGCACAAUGGGCGGAAGCCUGAUGCAGCAACGCCGCGUGCGGGAUGACGGCCUUCGGGUUGUAAACCGCUUUCGCCUGUGACGAAGCGUGAGUGACGGUAAUGGGUAAAGAAGCACCGGCUAACUACGUGCCAGCAGCCGCGGUGAUACGUAGGGUGCGAGCGUUGUCCGGAUUUAUUGGGCGUAAAGGGCUCGUAGGUGGUUGAUCGCGUCGGAAGUGUAAUCUUGGGGCUUAACCCUGAGCGUGCUUUCGAUACGGGUUGACUUGAGGAAGGUAGGGGAGAAUGGAAUUCCCGGUGGAGCGGUGGAAUGCGCAGAUAUCAGGAGGAACACCAGUGGCGAAGGCGGUUCUCUGGGCCUUUCCUGACGCUGAGGAGCGAAAGCGUGGGGAGCGAACAGGCUUAGAUACCCUGGUAGUCCACGCUGUAAACGGUGGGUACUAGGUGUGGGGUCCAUUCCACGGGUUCCGUGCCGUAGCUAACGCUUUAAGUACCCCGCCUGGGGAGUACGGCCGCAAGGCUAAAACUCAAAGGAAUUGACGGGGCCCCGCACAAGCGGCGGAGCAUGCGGAUUAAUUCGAUGCAACGCGUAGAACCUUACCUGGGUUUGACAUGGAUCGGGAGUGCUCAGAGAUGGGUGUGCCUCUUUUGGGGUCGGUUCACAGGUGGUGCAUGGCUGUCGUCAGCUCGUGUCGUGAGAUGUUGGGUUAAGUCCCGCAACGAGCGCAACCCUUGUUCACUGUUGCCAGCACGUUAUGGUGGGGACUCAGUGGAGACCGCCGGGGUCAACUCGGAGGAAGGUGGGGAUGACGUCAAGUCAUCAUGCCCCUUAUGUCCAGGGCUUCACGCAUGCUACAAUGGCUGGUACAGAGAGUGGCGAGCCUGUGAGGGUGAGCGAAUCUCGGAAAGCCGGUCUCAGUUCGGAUUGGGGUCUGCAACUCGACCUCAUGAAGUCGGAGUCGCUAGUAAUCGCAGAUCAGCAACGCUGCGGUGAAUACGUUCCCGGG
Molecule: ribosomal RNA, 1343 nt
Filed under: uncultured bacterium
Lineage: Bacteria
Description: 16S ribosomal RNA
Rfam family: Bacterial small subunit ribosomal RNA
Source: RNAcentral